RNAcentral lists this ribosomal RNA (496 nucleotides) under uncultured bacterium. RNAcentral describes it as "partial 16S ribosomal RNA". It matches the Rfam family "Bacterial small subunit ribosomal RNA", at positions 28 to 506 of the family's 1533-position model. The record is from RNAcentral.
GAUGAACGCUGGCGGCGUGCCUAAUACAUGCAAGUCGAGCGAACAGAUGAGGAGCUUGCUCCUCUGACGUUAGCGGCGGACGGGUGAGUAACACGUGGAUAACCUACCUAUAAGACUGGGAUAACUUCGGGAAACCGGAGCUAAUACCGGAUAAUAUAUUGAACCGCAUGGUUCAAUAGUUAAAGACGGUUUUGCUGUCACUUAUAGAUGGAUCCGCGCCGCAUUAGCUAGUUGGUAAGGUAACGGCUUACCAAGGCAACGAUGCGUAGCCGACCUGAGAGGGUGAUCGGCCACACUGGAACUGAGACACGGUCCAGACUCCUACGGGAGGCAGCAGUAGGGAAUCUUCCGCAAUGGGAGAAAGCCUGACGGAGCAACGCCGCGUGAGUGAUGAAGGUCUUCGGAUCGUAAAACUCUGUUAUUAGGGAAGAACAAAUGUGUAAGUAACUAUGCACGUCUUGACGGUACCUAAUCAGAAAGCCACGGCUAACUACGU